RNAcentral lists this small RNA (725 nucleotides) under Pan troglodytes (chimpanzee). Its description in RNAcentral is "processed transcript". The record is from RNAcentral. Lineage: Eukaryota; Metazoa; Chordata; Mammalia; Primates; Hominidae.
GUUGCUAUCAAGAUCAUAGAUAAGACCCAGUUGGAUGAAGAAAACUUGAAGAAGAUUUUCCGGGAAGUUCAAAUUAUGAAGAUGCUUUGCCACCCCCAUAUCAUCAGGCUCUACCAGGUUAUGGAGACAGAACGGAUGAUUUAUCUGGUGACAGAAUAUGCUAGUGGAGGGGAAAUAUUUGACCACCUGGUGGCCCAUGGUAGAAUGGCAGAAAAGGAGGCACGUCGGAAGUUCAAACAGAUCGUCACAGCUGUCUAUUUUUGUCACUGUCGGAACAUUGUUCAUCGUGAUUUAAAAGCUGAAAAUUUACUUCUGGAUGCCAAUCUGAAUAUCAAAAUAGCAGAUUUUGGUUUCAGUAACCUCUUCACUCCUGGGCAGCUGCUGAAGACCUGGUGUGGCAGCCCUCCCUAUGCUGCACCUGAACUCUUUGAAGGAAAAGAAUAUGAUGGGCCCAAAGUGGACAUCUGGAGCCUUGGAGUUGUCCUCUACGUGCUUGUGUGCGGUGCCCUGCCGUUUGAUGGAAGCACACUGCAGAAUCUGCGGGCCCGCGUGCUGAGUGGAAAGUUCCGCAUCCCAUUUUUUAUGUCCACAGAUCAUUAAUGAUUCUGAAGUACACUUUUGGCAGAGGAACAGGAGCAAAAGCUUAAUCAUGUGGUUGCAACAAAAAAGGAACAGAAGGAAAAUAGACAAAGGAAGUAGACACGCUCUUUCCAGUUUACUAUAAA